GUCCACGCCGUAAACGUUGGGCGCUAGGUGUGGGGCUCUUUCCACGAGUUCCGUGCCGCAGCAAACGCAUUAAGCGCCCCGCCUGGGGAGUACGGCCGCAAGGCUAAAACUCAAAGGAAUUGACGGGGGCCCGCACAAGCGGCGGAGCAUGCGGAUUAAUUCGAUGCAACGCGAAGAACCUUACCAAGGCUUGACAUGGGCAGAAAUCCGGCAGAGAUGUCGGGUCCGUAAGGGCUGCUCACAGGUGGUGCAUGGUUGUCGU
This 262-nucleotide ribosomal RNA is filed under the name uncultured bacterium. RNAcentral's name for it is "partial 16S ribosomal RNA". It matches the Rfam family "Bacterial small subunit ribosomal RNA", at positions 793 to 1055 of the family's 1533-position model. The record is from RNAcentral.